This 497-nucleotide ribosomal RNA is filed under the name uncultured bacterium. RNAcentral describes it as "partial 16S ribosomal RNA". It matches the Rfam family "Bacterial small subunit ribosomal RNA", at positions 28 to 507 of the family's 1533-position model. The record is from RNAcentral.
GAUGAACGCUGGCGGCGUGCCUAAUACAUGCAAGUCGAGCGAACGGACGAGAAGCUUGCUUCUCUGAUGUUAGCGGCGGACGGGUGAGUAACACGUGGAUAACCUACCUAUAAGACUGGGAUAACUUCGGGAAACCGGAGCUAAUACCGGAUAAUAUUUUUAACCGCAUGGUUCAAAAGUGAAAGACGGUCUUGCUGUCACUUAUAGAUGGAUCCUCGCUGCAUUAGCUAGUUGGUAAGGUCACGGCUUACCAAGGCAACGAUGCAUAGCCGACCUGAGAGGGUGAUCGGCCACACUGGAACUGAGACGCGGUCCAGACUCCUACGGGAGGCAGCAGUAGGGAAUCGUACGCAAUGGGCGAAAGCCUGACGGAGCAACGCCGCGUGAGUGAUGAAGGUCUUCGGAUCGUAAAACUCUGUUAUUAGGGAAGAACAUAUGUGUAAGUAACUGUGCACAUCUUGACGGUACCUAAUCAGAAAGCCACGGCUAACUACGUG